Long non-coding RNA from Malania oleifera, 4273 nucleotides. RefSeq lists it as uncharacterized. The record is from RefSeq and is a predicted model, not a curated record. NCBI's taxonomy places the organism in Eukaryota, Viridiplantae, Streptophyta, Magnoliopsida, Santalales, Ximeniaceae. The transcript is spliced from 6 exons.
GUGGAGGGAAAAAUUUGUCCAAAGAAAAAAAUAUAUACGCCCACGUGGAGAAGACGGCAGACGUGGAGGGGCCAUCCUACCACGUGGAGGGGCUGCGUUCCAACUCUUUGUGGGGCUCUCUCUCUUUCUCUCUCUCUCUGAUCGGAACAGUCGGCGGCGCCUGUAAUCGUCGCCAUGGCCAUUGCUGCAGCAGGUCAGUGCUCCGCCGAUCGUUCCUAUCCCCUCUACGGCGAGGUCAGUGCUUUCACUGUCAUCUUCGUUUCUUCCAUUCUUUUGCCUGUUGGUGCAAAUGGUUCUGAAAGGUAAUACGGAACUCUUUCAAAUGGAUCUGAAAGAUAUUUCAAUCUGCCGUCGGUGUCCACCAAGUUCGAGACUGCAAACCUUCGGCGGAGUUCAAAGAUUUUCUCCAGAUCUCACCCUAGAGCUCAAGAAAGUGAAUUCCGUACAUUAGAUCGAUCCACGCCCCAACUUGCACCUCCCAAAAUUUCAACACCCUUAAUGGUAUAAAUUAGCUUAUUGAGCAGAAAUGUUCACUUUUUGAGCCGUGGCAAAUUUCAGGGGCUACACGUGAAGAAUUCUUUGUGAAUAGCAAGUAUUUGGGUGAAGACUGCUUUAAUUUCAGCAGUGACUGGCUUUUGACUUCAUUUUCAAGUGUGCCAUUUCAAAAGAAAUGGUCCAUGAUCGCAUAAAUUGACGGAAAAGGAUUCAUAUAGCCGACCCCACUUAGUGGGACUAAGGCUAGGUUUUGUUGUUGUUGUUGUUGUAUCAUUUCCCUGAUUAGUCGAACCUGAAUAGUUGCGUAAGAGAUAAGAGAUUGAUAAUUUGUUAUUUAAAAUAACUAUGGCCAUAAUUACUGUUUUUAUAUUUCUUACAGGUAUUGAAACUUGAAAGCUUCAAAUAUGGUAGCUUCGUUUCCCCUUUCUCAAUAUUAAUUCUUUGUUUUUAUGUGGCUUUGAUGCUUUGUUCCACAUGAAUUUUUUUUUUAAAAAAAAAAAAAAAAAGGGUAAAAGAAAAGCACAUGAACACUCAUUCAAUAAAAUAUUUGGAAGAAAUUGGGCUGACCAUGUUAAAGGAGUAGUCCAUCUGUUCAAAAUUUGAAACAAUAAGCUUGGGUUGUCACCACCCUCCCAACCAUUGCUGUAGAAUUUUCACUGAUGUGUAGGUCUCCCCUCCUUGAACGCAUCUUCAAAAGAGCCAUUGGGGAGUUUCCCUGGAGCUCUCCGAAGUUCAUUUUGUGAGAUCAUGAAACUGACUCUCCCUAGAACCAAGUUAGGCAUCACUACGCAAUUCCUCAACUAUGGGAAUCAAGAAUUCCUUAUCAUUUACCUCCAAUAUUACUUAAUUGCUUAUUAGAUUUGGGAAUAAAAACAUCCUAAAAGACAAUAUGCCACUAAAAUUACUUAAAACUUCCCUGGUCAACAAAUUCCGGUAGGUUGUCUUUCUUGGCAUUCCAGAUUCCAUUUUAACUCUGUUAUUUUUAUACCCCAUAUUUUCCUUCUUGCUUAUCAAAUCCCUAUUCCAGAUCCUAUGAUUCUUAGUUAGAUUCAUACAGUUCAAUCGGAUACAGUGUUCUACCAGUUCGAAUCCAUGUAGGUAAAAUUAACUUUGAAUCUUAUGAAUCCGGAUUCAAAUCCUACUGUUCAUGAUUCAUGAGUAAGUGAUCAAAUUCACACAAAUCUAAAUUAGAGAUUUGAAAUCCAUGCCCUCAAAAAUGGUACAAGCGUUACAUCCUCUAUUAGAUUUAAGUAUUUUUGACAUGAGAAUACUGGUGCGCAUGCCAUUACAAACAAUUGCUUUAGAUAAAAUAAAACUGGAGCUUACCUUUGCACUGUUAAAAGUCACAGUUUCACAAUCUGGUAUGAUACUAAUUGACUUUGGGAGCAAUUCAAACGAUCUGUUUUGAAAUUGGACAGUGGCAGUAUUGUUUCCAUCAUUGUUCACAAGAAAAGCAGCACAUCCACUUCCUUGAAAAACAUAUGCCUGAAUUGAAUCAAACAUAUUUGAUCUUUACAUUUAUCAUGUAUGCCUAGUAAGCCAAAACAAACAUAAAUUCAAUAUAUUAGAAAAAUACCUGUUGAAGAUUCCCUAAAGAGAAAUUCUUUUGCUCUCCUUGUAGUAAAGGUGUUGAGCAAAGCUUUAUUGCAGCAUGCAACUCCUUAAGAUGGCUCCAUUUGGGUUCUCUAUAUAAUCCUAUAUAUAUGUGUUAAAUAAAUUCUUAAAUAUCUAUAUUUGUGUACGCAGUAUGCAUGCACAUGUUUAUAUACACACACACUUACCAUAUUCAUCUAGUGGUGCCUGGUCAUAAUAACCUGUUAUGACAUAUGCGGAGCUGGUCCUUCCAAAAUUUGUUCCUCCAUGGUACUAGAUUAGGUUGUGAUGCAUGUUAAAUGUGUUAAGAACUUAUGCUAAAGUAAAUUUAAAAGUUUGUAUGAAGACUAUAAAUUUGUCUUAAAAUUAAUUCAGAAAAAGAUGUUAUAAGAGAAUCAUACCAUAUAAUAAUUAAUAUAAAUUCCCUUUUUGGCGACGAAUAGGGCCACAUGAAAUGCUAUGUCUUCUGCAGACCUUAUGUAUGGCUCUCCUCCGAACACUUGAUAACUUCCCAAAUAAAAAAAAAAAAAAGAGAAAAAGAAGAGUGAGUUCACCUUGUAACUAAAUAAAAAUCUCACUUUAAAAAAGUUUAUCUAUACUAAUAAAAAAUUUGAAGUGUUUUUUUUUUAGGAAUACCCAUAUUUUAAAAAAUCAAAAUUUAGUUGCACAUUAAGAGUAAUAUAUUGCAAAAUCAUACAAAGAAGUCCAAUUCUCUGUCCACAUAGAAGGCUUAUUUGGGGAGUUGGGUCCUCCGAAGGUUUCUCCACAUCUCAUGCCAUUGCAUGUGUUAAUCUGCAUAAAACCAGAAACAGGAAAAAAUAAUUUAUGGUGUUUGACAGUGUUUUCGUGUUUAUGAAACUCUAGGAAAAUCAUCUACACUAUAUUGCCGACCAAAUUAUCUUAAGAUCUUCAACUCUCAAAUAAAUACAUGCAUAAGCACGUAUGUAAGGAUUUUGGAUCAAAUGUAAAGGUUGUUACUUUGUGAUCGGCUAGUCAUGCAUUUGAAUUCUAGGAAAUAACCUUCCUACAUAAACAUGUAGGGAUAAGGUUAUGUAUACUGUGACGACCAUCUCUCUACAGUUGUAAAACAGGGAGUCUUGUGGUUCGGAGACAUCUUUAUACUUAUGUAUGUUUAUACACAUGUAUCUAUAUAUGUUUGUGAUGAGGUGUGACUUAAGAAUGGAAAAUGCUGAGUGACGUGGGUCCAUGAUGACAUGGGCUGAUGUGGUAAGGCACCAGUGGGUCCACAUCUUCUGCUAGUGCCCUGCCACAUGGACCCGUGUUAUAUGUCACGGUUGCUCAAGAAUGUAUGUGGAAAAGAGAUGGUGGGGGACAAACCACGGGAUCGGGAGCAUCAGUUUGCUUGCACAUGAUCCAUGGUACACCUGUUUGGAGAUCAACGGCCAUCUUGGCUGCCCACUGAACGUAAGAAGGUCCUUUCUCGUGAAAUGCUGCUUCCACAUUCUGGAACGCAGUUCCAAAAUGAUUUCAGGUACUGAGUGUGUCCGGCUCUAUAUCCAAGGGUGUGUAUUUAUCGCUUGCCACGUAUGCAAGAGUGUCCGGCUCUAUAUCUGAGGGCGUGAGUCUAUUCCGGCCGAUCAAGGCGAAGGGUGUGGAUCCAUCAGUUAGCGCCAGUACAAUGUCAUGGGAGUCGAGGAUUAGCCAUGUGUUGGUGGCGCCGUGCUUCACGAGUUGGCUAUGGGCCAAUGCCGGAAUGCCGGACCGGUUUUGGGCCAAUGAGUGUGAUGACACUGUGUAUUACUGAUCAUGUGUGUGUAUUGUGAUGGGGCUGCGUAUAAAUGGCCGCUGUAUGCGUGCGUGUAUGCACUGUGUGAAUUAGUACUGGAUUGCAUUCAACUGCGUGUAUGUUGUAUCAUGAUAAUACUCAAAUGCCACACACCGAUAUAACCUGUAUUCUUCUUUACUGAGAGGUGUUUCACCCUUGCUAUAUGUAUAUUUUUAUAGGUCCUUCGAGUAACCAGAACUAACGUCCUGGUGUAGGGAGCGUAGUAGCCGGUGUACUGCAUUAGCGUUUGGGUAAGUGUUAGGACUGUAGUUUGUUAGGUUGCCAUUUUAAGUUGUAUUUGGGCACCCAGUUUGUACGUUUUGUUAAAGCCAUGUUCUGCUCUUGUAUAGACUCUGAUAUGGUAUUGCAUAUGUUGAUAUAGAAUGACUUUUUUCCGCU